This 497-nucleotide ribosomal RNA is filed under the name uncultured bacterium. Its description in RNAcentral is "partial 16S ribosomal RNA". It matches the Rfam family "Bacterial small subunit ribosomal RNA", at positions 28 to 507 of the family's 1533-position model. The record is from RNAcentral.
GACGAACGCUGGCGGCGUGCCUAAUACAUGCAAGUAGAACGCUAAAGAGAGGAGCUUGCUCUUCUUGGAUGAGUUGCGAACGGGUGAGUAACGCGUAGGUAACCUGCCUUGUAGCGGGGGAUAACUAUUGGAAACGAUAGCUAAUACCGCAUAACAAUGGAUGACACAUGUCAUUUAUUUGAAAGGGGCAAUUGCUCCACUACAAGAUGGACCUGCGUUGUAUUAGCUAGUAGGUGAGGUAAUGGCUCACCUAGGCGACGAUACAUAGCCGACCUGAGAGGGUGGACGGCCACACUGGGACUGGGACAAGGGCCAGGAUCCUACGGGGGGGAGCAGGAGGGGAACUUCGGCAAUGGGGGCAACGCUGACCGAGCAACGCCGGGGUGGGGGAGAAGGGUUUCGGGUCGGAAAGCUCUGUUGUAAGUCAAGAAAGGGUGUGAGAGUGGAAAGUUCACACUGUGACGGUAGCUUACCAGAAAGGGACGGCUAACUACGUG